Molecule: small nucleolar RNA, 133 nt
Organism: Chelonoidis abingdonii (Abingdon island giant tortoise)
Lineage: Eukaryota; Metazoa; Chordata; Testudines; Testudinidae
Source: Ensembl
UUCCCCUUUUUUGCUUUGCCCUCUUAAGGCAGACUGUGCUUUAAGUGGCCAACACAGGGGGGUAUAGUAAUUCUCUCUCAAACCCAGAGGUGAGAUUAAAACUCUUCUCUGGAUCCUGUCGGGAGGAACAAAC